AGAUAACCCACAUGGUCACCAGUACAUUUAGCCAAAAGUCACAGUUGACAGAAAAAACCCCAAAUUUUUCUUCCACAGCGAGAUCUGAACGUCACCGAGCGGCGUAGACGACAUCGAUAUUAGUACAUGCACAUUACGAAGGAUUCAUAAUCCCAGCAUUUAUACAGAAACAUGCUAACAUACCCAAGUGCUAACCAUAACGACCUUGAUAUUCGUUGAUGGUAAUCUCCAACAGCGUCAUGUGAUUUUAGAACAGCAGUACAGUCAGAGACCCCCUGGAUAUACAUCACAGACACCAGUUCAACAACCGUUGAUUCAGGAGAUCUUCGAGAUCAUUCCCAGCUUCUGCUCAGCAUGUUGGGUAAUUUUAUGCGCAUAUCUGUGGCCACGAGCAUGACCUCCAGACACAAAGGCCAUGGUUGAGUGUAACUGGAGAGGUUAUCAGUCUUUAUCAGUUUUGACCAGUUCACUGACUGCUGUGCUGGUUUCCUUGACAUCCAUAGGAUUAUUUAAAGCGCGCCUAUUAUAGUUUUGAAAUGUGCCGAAUUUUGUUUUAAAGGUCUCAUGCUAUAGAUUUACAUUCAUCCAAGGUCCAAGAACACUUUUUAACGUGCUCCCCCCAGAGUCACAAACGACUCGUUAAAUGAUCCGUUCUAAAUGAUUCGUUCUAAACUCCUCCUUUCAGAGAGCGUACUCUGCUCUGAUUGGUCAGACAUCCCAGUCUGUUGUGAUUGGUCUACCGCUGUCAGCAUGUUUCAAAAAGGAAACACACACCACCAUAACGAGUUUCAGCUCCGUCUGUCAGCGAGCGGGUGAUGAAGAUCAGAGGCGGGGCUUUUUGUUAUAAACCUUACGUAGGUUAGUGCAGGAAGUAAAGUCUGGAAUCACCGACGACUCGUUUCAGCUGUUCAGAAUCGAUUCCUUCUUUUGGGAGUCGAUAGCUCCGUUUGAUUUUUGAAACUUUGCCGACUUUUUACACUCACAGACAGCUACGUAUAUAACACACUACAUGAAAGGUAAUAUUUGGAAAACCAUAAUAGGUGCAGUUUAACAGAGUGAGAUUCUUACCUCUGACGCUGAUGCGUUUGUUGUCAGACCUGUUGCAUGUGGUCCGAUGACCUGGUCAGUCUCGGCGGUCACGAGCGUUACACAAGUGCGGAAGCUUGAUUCUACAAAGACUAAAGCACCUGGGCUGGACAACAAAUAUGGAGAGAAGAUCAUAGUGAAGUUGUGUUGCUAGAUAAUGUAGUGGCGAUAUGGUUUUGCAAAACAUCAUACAUCAUCAUACAGAGAACCUGCAUGUCCGGAAGACUUAACGACCGUCUGCGUUAUUUAUUCUACAUGUGAGUGUUGUGGUUUCUUCCAAACAUCUAGAAAAAUACUCAUCUGGAAAAUCUCUCUCUCUUUCUCUCUCUCUUUCCUCUUUCUGUCUCUCUCGCUCCCUCU
Long non-coding RNA from Ictalurus punctatus (channel catfish), 1446 nucleotides. Lineage: Eukaryota; Metazoa; Chordata; Actinopteri; Siluriformes; Ictaluridae. The record is from Ensembl.